UGUCUGGUCAAUAAAUAAGGGUGCCGCGGU
This 30-nucleotide non-coding RNA is filed under the name Mus musculus (house mouse). Lineage: Eukaryota; Metazoa; Chordata; Mammalia; Rodentia; Muridae. The record is from RNAcentral.